GCUCAAUGAAACUUAAAUAGCCGCUUUUGUGCUAAGGUAGCAUAAUAAUUUGUCUUUUAAUUAAAGACUAGAACAAAAGACUUAACAUCUCAACUAAUAUUUUUUAAAAAACUAUUUAAAUUAUUUUAAUUGUAAAAAAACAAUUUUAAAAAAGAAAGACGAUAAGACCCUAUCGAACUUUACUUUAGUUUAACUGGGGAAGUUAAUCAAUUAACACUUUAAUAAUAUUAAAUAUUUAAUUUGACCUAAUACAAUUAAAAAAAUAAUUAAGUUACCGUAGGGAUAACAGCGUAAUAAAAUUUUCUAGAUCUUAUUUAAAAUAAAGAUUGCGACCUCGAUGUUGAUUUAAUAACCUAAUUUACGCAAUAGUUAAUUAAGGAAGUCUGUUCGACUUUUAAAAAAUUACAUGAUUUGAGUUCAGACCGGUGUAAACCAGGUCGGUUUCUAUCUUCUAAAUAAAUUCUUCUAGUACGAAAGGACCUAAGAAAAUAAUAAUAUU
RNAcentral lists this ribosomal RNA (499 nucleotides) under Pardosa jambaruensis. Its description in RNAcentral is "partial 16S ribosomal RNA". The stretch from base 153 to 453 matches the Rfam family "Bacterial large subunit ribosomal RNA", at positions 2074 to 2646 of the family's 2925-position model. Lineage: Eukaryota; Metazoa; Arthropoda; Arachnida; Araneae; Lycosidae. The record is from RNAcentral.